RNAcentral lists this ribosomal RNA (484 nucleotides) under uncultured bacterium. RNAcentral's name for it is "partial 16S ribosomal RNA". It matches the Rfam family "Bacterial small subunit ribosomal RNA", at positions 31 to 507 of the family's 1533-position model. The record is from RNAcentral.
AGGGAAAGAUGGAGGCAUGCUUUACACAUGCAAGUCGAACGGCAGCGCGGGCUUCGGCCUGGCGGCGAGUGGCGAACGGGUGAGUAAUGCAUCGGAACGUGCCCAGUAGUGGGGGAUAGCCCGGCGAAAGCCGGAUUAAUACCGCAUACGACCUGAGGGUGAAAGCGGGGGACCGAAAGGCCUCGCGCUAUUGGAGCGGCCGAUGUCGGAUUAGCUAGUUGGUGGGGUAAAGGCUUACCAAGGCGACGAUCCGUAGCUGGUCUGAGAGGACGACCAGCCACACUGGGACUGAGACACGGCCCAGACUCCUACGGGAGGCAGCAGUGGGGAAUUUUGGACAAUGGGGGCAACCCUGAUCCAGCCAUGCCGCGUGCGGGAAGAAGGCCUUCGGGUUGUAAACCGCUUUUGUUCGGGAAGAAAUCCUCUGGGCUAAUACCCCGGGGGGAUGACGGUACCGGAAGAAUAAGCACCGGCUAACUACGUG